GGGCCCGCACAAGCGGUGGAGUAUGUGGUUUAAUUCGAUGCAACGCGAAGAACCUUACCAGGGUUUUGACAUCCUGCGAAUCUCUUGGAAAACGAGAGAGUGCCCUUCGGGGAGCGCAGUGACAGGGUGGUGCAUGGCUGUCGUCAGCUCGUGUCGUGAGAUGUUGGGUUAAGUCCCCGCAACGAGCGCAACCCACGUCUUUUAGUUGCCAGCAUUUAGUUUGGGCACUCUAGAGAGACUGCCGGUGAUAAACCGGAGAAGGUGUGGAUGACGUCAAGUCAUCAUGCCCCUUACAUCUGGGCUACACACGUACUACAAUGCUACGGACAAAAGGGCAGCAAGUUCGCGAGGACAAGCAAAUCCCAUAAAACGUGGCUCAG
RNAcentral lists this ribosomal RNA (380 nucleotides) under uncultured bacterium. RNAcentral describes it as "bacterial SSU rRNA". It matches the Rfam family "Bacterial small subunit ribosomal RNA", at positions 917 to 1291 of the family's 1533-position model. The record is from RNAcentral.